This 1508-nucleotide unclassified non-coding RNA is filed under the name Agrilus planipennis (emerald ash borer). Its description in RNAcentral is "protein-L-isoaspartate(D-aspartate) O- methyltransferase-like, transcript variant X1". Lineage: Eukaryota; Metazoa; Arthropoda; Insecta; Coleoptera; Buprestidae. The record is from RNAcentral.
AUGGCAUGGAAAGCAAAAGGGAGAACAAACCAAGAAUUAGUACGAUAUCUUCGAGCUUCUAAUGUUAUUAAAAGUGACAUUGUAGAAAAUGCAAUGUUAAAAGUUGAUAGAGGUUUCUACUGCAAAUCCAACCCUUACACAGAUAGUCCACAAGGAAUAGGCUAUGGUGUUACAAUUAGUGCUCCUCAUAUGCAUGCCUAUGCAUUGGAGUUACUGAAAGAUAAAUUACUACCUGGAGAAAGAGUUUUAGAUGUUGGUUCUGGAAGUGGUUACCUUACUGCCUGUAUGGCUACUAUGUUGGGUAAAGAUGGACUAGCCGUUGGUGUUGAACAUAUACCUGAACUGGUAAACAAGUCUAUUGAGAACAUGAAAGAAGGAAAUCCAGAUCUAUUAGAAUCUGGGAGAGUUAAAAUAAUAGUUGGUGAUGGUCGUCUUGGUGUUCUAGAAUAUAGUCCAUAUAAUGCCAUUCAUGUUGGUGCAGCAGCUUCUACUAUUCCACAAGCUCUCAUAGAGCAGUUAAAAGUUGGUGGAAGACUAAUACUACCUGUGGGUUCUUCUGGAGGGGAUCAAGCACUUGAGCAGAUAGAUAAACUUGAGGAUGGAACUGUAAGACGAACACCACUUAUGGAUGUAAUCUUUGUUCCUCUUACUGAUCGUUCAGCACAGUGGCCCCAAGAACGCUGACUUAAAAGUUGCCGGUUUCAGAAUUAUUCUUGUUAUAAUUUUUUGUUAUUGCAAGUCCUUCUGUGGUUGGUAAAAAAAAAAACUAUCAAUCUUACAGUGUUAUAUUGCAAAUCAUAAUUUCAUGUACCUUUCAAUUGUACAAAGCCAACAUUCAAAGAUUAGUUACUUGCUGAUCCAUUUUAGGAGCUGCAAUUGAUAAUAUUCUAAUAUCAUAACCAUCAGGUAGAAUAUACUUCCCUAUAAAAUGGCGUGAUACAAAGCCAUGCCCGUCCUACUUUCCUUCAUGUCUUCCUUCUAUAACGAUUUUAUUGCCAAGGACAUUAACGGAGAUUUCAUCAGGAGAAAAUUGCUGAAUAUCUAGGUGAGCUUGAAAUUUAUCUUUAUCUGUUGAUAUUGUCGAUCCUGAGUCUUUGAACAAUAUAACCGGCUACGGGUACUCAUGAAUAAAUCCUUGGUUUUCUACCUAUUAACUUUUCAUUUGGUUGAAAUUAAUGCGGACGCACUAAAGCUUCAUUUAAUAUUGAUGGCAAUCUUCAAAACUGCUUACCAGUUACCACAGAUUUUCAGUUUGUUUACCACUUUUCUGUUGAACUAAACCACGCACACUAAUUGACAAAAUUUAUGUUUACAGUACAUUAUUUAAAAACAAUAAGCAUAGGUCUUAAAUAUCCCGGAUAAUUCUACAAUAUGUAUCUUAUUCUGUAGUCGCCUUUUACGUACAUAGUUUGUUAGCUUCAUUAAUGAGCUUAUAAUAUGUAUAUAGAUUAUUGAGAAUGAGUUAAGUUUAACCCCAGUUUACACAUUAAAUUAAUGAUAUACUAAUA